Molecule: long non-coding RNA, 318 nt
Organism: Drosophila teissieri
Lineage: Eukaryota; Metazoa; Arthropoda; Insecta; Diptera; Drosophilidae
Exons: 3
Source: RefSeq, a predicted model, not a curated record
UUUUGGGAGCAUACCAGUACCAACAAUUUAAAACCAACAGCUGACUGUCAUUAAAAACAAGAUAGUACGCUAUAGUCAAUCUACUCGAAAAUCAGAUACCAAUUACUCUGCCAGGACGUGCGAACGAAAGUACAUUUGAUUUUUUUUUGGCAAAUCAGUGGGGAACUAUGUACACUCAAUGACCCAAACUCACCCGAAACAAGAGAGGAAGAUGGUUUUGGCAAGCCGAAUCUUAUAUACCCUUGCAGUAGUACAAUUUUAAUCAAAUUAAAACCAAUGUUAUAUAUUUAAAUUAAUAAUGUGAUGUGUGCGGAAUUA